UAUGAGUUUGAUUCUAGCUUUUGAGUUAACUUAUUCAUUGAUCUAUAUGGUUAAUUUUAAAUUAAAUUUUAUUGUUCCAGUAGUAAAGAUUAAAUUUAUUAUAAGUUUUGAUUUAGAAAUUGAAUAAUUUUUUAAAGUAGAUUAAUAUUUGUGCCAGCAUUCGCGGUUACACAAUUUACUUAAGUUAACUUUGUUAUUUUUUUAAUUUAAUUUUUAUUUGGGUUUAAAUAUAAGAUUUAUUUAGGUGGAAUUUAUAAUUUGUUAUAAAAUCUUUUAUAAUUAAUAUUAAGAUAUUUUUAUUGAUAAACUAGGAUUAGAUACCCUAUUAUUUUUAAUGUAAAAGUUUUUAGAAUGGUAUUAGUUAUGGUCUUUUAAGCUCAAAGAAUUUGGCGGUAAGAUAUCUAUUUAGAGGAAUCUGUGUAUUAAUUGAUAAUCCACAAUAGUUUAUACCUUUAAUUAUAUUUGUAUACCGCUAUAAUGUGGAAUGUUAUCUAAGUAAACUUUCUUUAAUUAAUUUUAAUUUUAUAUUAGGUCAAGGUGCAGUUUUUUAAAGGUUUAUAUGGAUUACUUUUGUUUUAAGUGUUAGGAUUUUAAUUUUACAAAGUUAUUUUGAAUUAGGAUUUAAUAGUAAGUUUUAAAUUAAUUUAUUUAACUGAAUAUUGCUAUGUUUUAUGUACAUAUCGCCCGUCACUCCUAAUUAAGUUAGGAUAAGUCGUAACAAAGUAAUUUUACCGGAAGGUGAAGUUAGAAUAAUU
RNAcentral lists this non-coding RNA (755 nucleotides) under Nesophrosyne sp. 29 GMB-2012. Lineage: Eukaryota; Metazoa; Arthropoda; Insecta; Hemiptera; Cicadellidae. The record is from RNAcentral.